RNAcentral lists this ribosomal RNA (497 nucleotides) under uncultured bacterium. RNAcentral's name for it is "partial 16S ribosomal RNA". It matches the Rfam family "Bacterial small subunit ribosomal RNA", at positions 28 to 507 of the family's 1533-position model. The record is from RNAcentral.
GAUGAACGCUGGCGGCGUGCCUAAUACAUGCAAGUCGAGCGAACAGACGAGGAGCUUGCUCCUCUGACGUUAGCGGCGGACGGGUGAGUAACACGUGGAUAACCUACCUAUAAGACUGGGAUAACUUCGGGAAACCGGAGCUAAUACCGGAUAACAUGUUGAACCGCAUGGUUCAACAGUGAAAGACGGUUUUGCUGUCACUUAUAGAUGGAUCCGCGCCGCAUUAGCUAGUUGGUAAGGUAACGGCUUACCAAGGCAACGAUGCGUAGCCGACCUGAGAGGGUGAUCGGCCACACUGGAACUGAGACACGGUCCAGACUCCUACGGGAGGCAGCAGUAGGGAAUCUUCCGCAAUGGGCGAAAGCCUGACGGAGCAACGCCGCGUGAGUGAAGAAGGUCUUCGGAUCGUAAAACUCUGUUAUUAGGGAAGAACAAAUGUGUAAGUAACUAUGCACGUCUUAACGGUACCUAAUCAGAAAGCCACGGCUAACUACGUG